Molecule: long non-coding RNA, 602 nt
Organism: Gallus gallus (chicken)
Lineage: Eukaryota; Metazoa; Chordata; Aves; Galliformes; Phasianidae
Source: Ensembl
GGAGUAAGAAGCCUGCAAGGAGCAGAACAGAGGAGAAAAAAAAGGAGGGGUGAAAAGAAGAGCCCGUUUCUGCUCUAAUAUGGCUAUAAGCUUUGUUGAUGUCCUGGAAAGGGCUAAAAAGCAUUCUGUUUGUCUGGCAGCAAUAUCUGGGGGUGGCUUGCUCUCUGCUCCUUCUGGGGUGAGAUUUUAGCUUUAGCUUGAAGGACUCCCAUGUUUAUGUUUGCAGUUCCAGCUCCGUGGGCAGAUGAAGACAUUUCUGGUGUGCUCCCAUUUCUGGAGGUGCCCUGAAAGGAUGACUGUGUUGGCAGCACUCUUCCUGACUCCACUAAAUGCAAGGCUGCAGAUAAGCCAUAUGAAACACACUUAGGUCACUGACCAGACCGGGCUGAUGAAUAUUACAGCAACAACCUGAAAUCAGGGAUAUGCUCAGAACAGGGCCUGACCCUUCCUCUCCUGAAGCCCCACCAGUGCUCACCGUGAAGAACUGCAUGCUGUGAGUGCUGCCAGGCAUCUGCAGCCAAAGGAGGCUCCUGUGUACCACGGAGAGGUGAACGUCCUUAUUUCCCGAUGCCCUCAGAGCCCUCAGAUGCCCUCAGAGUGCC